RNAcentral lists this ribosomal RNA (505 nucleotides) under uncultured bacterium. RNAcentral's name for it is "bacterial SSU rRNA". It matches the Rfam family "Bacterial small subunit ribosomal RNA", at positions 28 to 533 of the family's 1533-position model. The record is from RNAcentral.
GACGAACGCUGGCGGCGUGCUUAACACAUGCAAGUCGAACGGAGUUACGUAUGAAGUAUUUCGGUACGGACUACAUAACUUAGUGGCGAACGGGUGAGUAACACGUGGGCAACCUGCCCUUAACCGGGGGAUAACAUUGUGAAAACAGUGCUAAUACCGCAUAACAGAGUAUCGGGCAUCCGAUAUUUUAAAAGGAGCAAUCCGGUUUAGGAUGGGCCCGCGUCCAAUUAGCUAGUUGGUGAGGUAACGGCUCACCAAGGCUACGAUUGGUAGCCGAACUGAGAGGUUGAUCGGCCACAUUGGGACUGAGACACGGCCCAGACUCCUACGGGAGGCAGCAGUGGGGAAUAUUGGGCAAUGGGCGAAAGCCUGACCCAGCGACGCCGCGUGAAGGAUGAAGGUCUUCGGAUUGUAAACUUCUUUGAUCAGGGAAGAAAGAAAUGACGGUACCUGAAGAACAAGCCACGGCUAACUACGUGCCAGCAGCCGCGGUAAACGUAGCGUG